RNAcentral lists this ribosomal RNA (460 nucleotides) under uncultured bacterium. RNAcentral describes it as "partial 16S ribosomal RNA". It matches the Rfam family "Bacterial small subunit ribosomal RNA", at positions 338 to 795 of the family's 1533-position model. The record is from RNAcentral.
CCUACGGGUGGCAGCAGUGAGGAAUAUUGGUCAAUGGACGAGAGUCUGAACCAGCCAAGUCGCGUGAAGGAUGACUGCCCUAUGGGUUGUAAACUUCUUUUAUAUGGGAGUAAAAUGUUCCACGUGUGGGAUUUUGUCUGUACCAUAUGAAUAAGGAUCGGCUAACUCCGUGCCAGCAGCCGCGGUAAUACGGAGGAUCCGAGCGUUAUCCGGAUUUAUUGGGUUUAAAGGGAGCGUAGGUGGAUUGGUAAGUCAGUUGUGAAAGUUUGCGGCUAAACCGUAAAAUUGCAUUUGAAACUGGUAGUCUUGAGUACAGGAGAGGUGGGUGGAAUUCGUGGUGUAGCGGUGAAAUGCUUAGAUAUCACGAAGAACUCCGAUUGCGAAGGCAGCUCACUGGACUGCAACUGACACUGAGGCUCGAAAGUGUGGGUAGCAAACAGGAUUAGAUACCCGAGUAGUC